GCUCCUAGGGUGUGGUAGAAGUGUAGAACCCUGUGUUUGUGUAAUUAAUUAGUUGCCACAUAUGUCCAAAUAGUAUGAGUAUAAAUAUACAUGAUAAUCCUACCGACACUUGUGUAGGCAGCCGCCGGUGUCAUAGGUGGGCCUUGUGGUGCAUACUGUGGUGGCAUCGUCCCCCACUAUGGUGCCAAAGGUGGCAGAGCACGGUUUGGGACAAAGUUCCACGAGGAGUGGUCCCAUGGUCCCGCUUGGGCAUACGAGGUAGGUGGUCCAUAGCCUAAGGGCGUGUUUGCGACCUUGGCCCGGUGGCCUGGCUGCGCUCCUGGGAUGCAACGUCCGUGUUUGCGUUGCCUGGCUUGCUCGGGAGCUCGGUCCUGCGCGUGCAAAAGCGGCUCUUCAGUCUGGCUCCCAGGAAACGAAGGCAGGGUCCGUUUUUUUUUGAGCUCGGCUGCUCGUGGCGCAAGUCAGCUGCUCGUGGCUGCUCCCAGGAAACAAAAGUGGCUUUUAGUCCGGCUGCCUGCGUGUGGCAAACACCGGCUCACUUGAACCAGGCUUAUUUGGUACAAGUGCACAAACAAGAUCAGCUGCAGCAGCUGGGGCUGGCUAGCUUCAGCCUGGGCGACACGAGCGGGCCGAGCCGGCCAGAUACGCGUCGCAAACACGCCCUAAGUGUAUUCAAAGUUACAGAUUCAUGCAUUUGUACGGUAUUAAACAAGGUCGUGCGGCAAGUAGGCGACGUCCUAUAGCGUAGGUGCCAUCUCCCCACAAGGGAGGUGGAACGUGUGGGUCUCGGGCCUCCACCUAUCAACGAGGGCCGUCAAGAGAGAACUGUCCAGCUGCACAAGCCCACCGUCUACCAGACGAACUAAAGUGAGGAGACCGGCAUCCUGCAACCUAAAGAUACAUGCGAGAUCAGUACACGAUAACAUUUAAAGUGAAUAUUUGAUCAAUUCAUUACAAACCUCGGAAACCAACAGUGGUGUAGCUCGAUACGCUCCUCGGGUGGACGUGGACGUAGUACAUGCAGGUUAGCGUGCUCGACCGCUGCCAGAAAAGACCGGUGACCCGAGUCGAUUACUUGGUCCAAGAGCUCAGGCGUUGCAGGAUAGUUACCUGCCAUACUUACAAUUAAAUAGUUCAUAAAAGCAGUUACGAACAUAAUAUGUGAAUAAACAUCGAAUAAAGGCCUAAACAUAAUGAUAAUUAUUACAAAUACCCUUGCAUAAUUAAUAUAAUACAAUUGUACUUACCUAAUCGUUUCUAGGUUGUAAUGACACAGAUCGUCUAGGGCGUGGACGACUUGCCGAGGCAGAUUCAAAGGGGGGUGCGUGGUGCUCCAUCUGUGGGAUUCCCCAAAGGCCCGGCUUCAGCUGCAUCAUGUACAUAGUUCGUAGGGCAUCUUUUGUAACUAUGACCGUCAGCGCCGCAUAGGUUGCACCGUUUUUUUGUCUUGCCUGCCUCUGACUCAUCCAUAGCAUUCUUGAUAGAUGCUGACGAUGGCCUCUACCUUUCUUAGUAGCUGGGUCAGGCUCAUACAGUUUAGGAUUAUUCUCCUGAGUGAACGGUUCCAGUAUUCCGAUCGACCCCAUGUAUCUCCUGCCACCAAGUUCUUAAGGCUGUUUCCUUUGAGAAGUAUGGUGAAACAAAUGCCCUUGCCUGUAGACCACACUAUCCGCAUGCAGCAAUCACAUGCGAGCAUGGUAGAUGCAGCAGGUUUGGCUUCAUACAUGAGCAACGAACUAUACCAUCCGGCCAAAAAAAGAAUUCCUGCACCACCCUUUCCCUGUGUACACCCCGACCGAUUCUAUCCUUACAUGCAACCUCAAAUCUUUGUUCAUGUGUACCCAUAGGUUGCACACGAUGCAGUUGGGCCUUCUUCAUCUUAUCCUCCGUGUAUGCCAUCACCCUAGUGCAGAACUCAAUCUGUAGGUUACUCAUGUUGAGACUUGCAGCCAUAUAACGCUCCCUAAAGUACUUCACACAACCAUACAUAAUGAACUCCACAAUUCCCACUAGAGGAAACCCCCACGAACGGAACGCAUGACCAUAUUGUGACACUGCAUGGUUGGUUGUCUGAAUGUUGUACCGGCUGCCGUUUUUAUCAUAUAGAAGUGACCAUUAUUUCUCCUUUGGUGCAUCUCGAAUCCAGUGUGAAAAUGGCCUCUUCUGGCCACCCCCUAUUUGACCCAGAGGCCCUAGCCUCUUCUGCCUGCCCCUUAUUUGACCAAAAGAGGCCCUAGUCUGUGCCUGCUCAGCAGUCAUCCUAUCAAGCAUCUGCUAGAGUGCAUUGAACUUUCGUUGCUGGUUCUGAGUGCACAACCUCUUAAACAUUUUGCACAACCUCUUAUCAAGCAUCUGCCAGAGUGCAUUGAACUUUCGUUGUUUUGGACGUCUGGCCAAAUAGGAUGAGCUAUGCUAUUUUCUUCAUGUAGUUUCUUUAUUGCCGCAAGCAGGCUAGAAUUCCUGUCACUUAUCAGACAUAUAUUAGGCCGUGCAGCAACCACAUGAAUUUUUACUCGUUCCAGGAACUAGUACCAACUGUCUGUGUUCUCAUUCUCCACAAAAGCAAAUGCAAUCGGGACAACUUGGUUAUUGCAAUCUUCUCCAAAUUGCCGAUAGUAUCUGUCCUUUAUAUCUUCCUGUUAGGAAUGUGCCAUCGAUGCAUAGUACAGGGGAGACAAUAUUGAAAUGUCCUGACACAUGCACCAAGACAGAAGAAGGCUCACUAAAAAAAUGCUUGGUGCUCCAUGCAAUCUUGGUACCAGGAAGAUAUCAUACGCGCUUCUCGGAUUCCUCUGCACAACAUGAGACAACAUACGGGGCAGAUUAUCAUAUGAAGCCUCGUAGGUGCCAAAUCUCAGCUCGAACACCUUUUUGUUUUGCUCUCCAUGCCUUUAUGUAGCUGAUAGUAUACAGAUAAUUCUACUCUAUGUAACUGACUAUCAAUUUUGGCUCAUAAUCCAGCCUGUCGAGAAUCAAACCAAUGAGUUUUCCAUCUACCCUUGUAGGCAUGUACUCUCCAUGGGCACCCAUCCUUCAAACACUUCACCUCGUAUUCCUUGCUGCCAGAUUUAACUGUUGAGUUUGUGAUCCAAAUUCUGAAGAAGGCGGCCAAGUUGGCGAGCGAAGCGGAGGCCCGUCGCCGGGAGGCUUGGGCCGGAGCGCAGCGAGGCCAACUGGCCUUCCCACGGCCCAGGGACGCCUGGGGGGUGCGGGGGGCGGAGCCCCCCGCGGUACGGAUCGUUUUAGGGUUUCACCUCUAUAAAUAUCUUUGUAAGCCGCAGGAGAUAUCUAUCUCUAUUGUAAAUCUCCUGCGAUCUGUAACCACCCAAAAAAUAGUGAGAAGUUGCCGGCCGGCGCCCGUGGUUUUUUCCCCUUCACUUUGGAGGGGUUUUCCACGUUAAAUCCGUGUCUACUCUGUGAUUGAUCCUAUUUGUGUCGCAUUUAUUUAUAACAAGUGGUAUCAAAGCUUUGGUUGUUUGGUGAUCGGUGUGCUAGGGUUUCCUGCCGGCGCACGGAUGUCGACGACAAUGAAGUACGAUCUUCCGCUGCUGGAUCUCGACACGCGUUUCUCGCUGUGGCAGGUGAAGAUGCGGGCAAUUCUCUCGCAAUCUGAUCGCGACCUGGAUGAUGCCCUAGAUGGAUUUGGCAACAAGGAUGCCAGGACGUGGACAGAUGAGGAGAGGCGCAAGGAUCGUAAGGCGCUCGCACAUAUUCACCUUCAUCUGUCUAACAAUAUUCUGCAGGAGGUUCUGGCAGAGAAGACUGCCGCUGCUCUCUGGUUGAAGCUGGAGUCGAUCUGUAUGUCAAAGGAUCUGACCAGCAAGAUGCAUGUCAAAAUGAAGUUGUUCUCCCACAAGUUGCAGGAAGGAGGAUCCGUUCUGACGCACAUAUCGGUGUUUAAGGAGAUCGUGGCCGAUCUGACGUCUAUGGAGGUAAAGUUUGAUGAUGAAGACCUAGCUCUUCUUCUCCUGUGUUCCCUCCCUGCAUCGUUUAGCAAUUUUCGAGAUACCAUCCUAUACAGUCGUGAUACUCUAACCGUGGCUGAAGUGUAUGAAGCUUUGACUGCGAAAGAAAAAAUGAGACAGAUGGUUAACUCGGAAGAUGCUGCUGGCUCGAGUGGAGAAGCUUUGUAUGUCCGUGGCCGCACUGAUCAGAAAAAGUCCAACUCAGGUGGCAAAGGAAAGGGGAAGAACCAGAGGGGUCGCUCCAAGUCAAGGGGGCCAUCCGAUGAAUUAUUUUGCAAAUACUGCAAGAAGACGAACCAUGUAAUUGAGAACUGUUACAAACUGCAGAACAAGGAGAAGAGGAACAAGGAGAAGGGUAAGACUGGAGGUACUGUCUCUGUUGCAUCCGAAAAUAAUUCUGAUAAUGGUGAUGUUCUUAUUGCCUUUGCUGGUUGUGCUGCUGAUGAUGCCCAAUGGAUCCUCGAUUCUGCUUGCUCAUAUCAUGUUUGCACUAAAAAAUCUCUGUUUAGUACCUAUGAAGCUGUGCAGAACGGAGGUACUCUUCGGAUGGGUGAUAAUUCCCCUUGCACUGUUGUUGGCAUGGGCACCGUGCAGAUCAAGAUGUUCGAUGGGAUUGUACGCACAUUGACUGAAGUACGACAUGUUCCAUCCAUGUCCAGGAACCUCAUCUCUCUGAGUACUCUGGACACAAAGGGCUACAAGUAUACCGCCGGUGACGGUGUCAUGAAGGUAACAAAAGGCUCUCUUGUGGUUAUUAAAGGUGAUUUGAAAGCUGAAAACUUAUAUGUGCUUCGAGGUAGUUCUGGCUCUGCUAAUGCUGUUGUUGCAUCUGAUUCUGAGACUACUAAAAUUUGGCAUAUGCGCCUUGGCCAUAUGAGUGCACCUGGUUUGGCAGAAUUGAGCAAGAGAGGCCUUCUUGAUGGCUGCCAUGCUGAUACUCUUGAUUUCUGUGAGCACUGUGUUUUCGGUAAGCAUAAAAGGGUAAAAUUCAGUUCUGCUGUUCAUAAUACCGAAAAUAUUCUUGAUUAUGUUCAUGCUGAUUUGUGGGGGCCGUCACGUAUACCUUCACAUGGUGGUGCUCGUUACAUGUUGACUAUCAUUGAUGAUAAUUCACGCAGAGUUUGGCCUUAUUUUCUUAAGCAAAAAUCAGAUGCCUUUGAGUCUUUCAAGGUUUGGAAGACUAUGGUUGAGAAGCAGACUGAGAGGAAGCUGAAGGUUCUGAGAACUGACAAUGGUAUGGAGUUUUGUUCUGGUGAUUUUAACUCUUUCUGCAGGAAGGAGGGCAUUGUGAGGCACCACACUAUACCAUAUACACCUCAGCAGAACGGUGUGGCAGAGCGUAUGAAUAGAACAAUAAUCUCCAAGGCUCGGUGUAUGCUGUCCAACUCAGGUUUGAGCCACAAGUUUUGGGCUGAGGCCGCUUCCACUGCUUGUCAUUUGAUCAAUUGUUCACCAUCCACUGCUAUCGAUAAGAAAACUCCAAUUGAGGUUUGGUCUGGUUCCCCCUAUGAUUAUUCUCAGUUGAGAGUGUUUGGUUGUACUGCAUAUGCACAUGUUGAUAAUGGUAAACUUGAGCCUAGAGCAAUUAAGUGUGUUUUCUUGGGUUAUGGAUCUGGUGUUAAAGCAUAUAAAUUGUGGAAUCCUGAUACACAGAAGGCAUUUUUUAGUAGAAACGUUGUGUUCAAUGAAUCUGCCAUGUUUCCUUCGGUUGUAUCUACCAGUGCUACUAACCAGAAUUCUGAGUCUAUCAGUGUGCAGGUGGAGCACGGAGGGGAUGUUGAUGAUCAUGCUCCACCAUCUGCUGAACCUGCUGAAAAUUAUGUUUCUGAAAUUUCAUCACCUGUUGUGGAGUCUCAUCCCCAGUCUCUUGCUGAAGGCCGAACUAGGAGGCAGAUAGUUCGGCCCCAAAGACUGAUUCAAGAGUGCAAUGUUGCUUUUGCUUUAGCUGUUGCUGAAGAAGUUGAUAAUGUUCAGGAACCAUUGAAUUAUUCAGAAGCUAUAUUGUGUACUGAUAGUGAAAAGUGGAUGGGUGCUAUGCAUGAAGAAAUGGAGUCUCUUGAUAAGAAUGGCACUUGGGAACUAGCUCGGCUGCCUUCUGGUAAAAAGGCAAUUAAGUGCAAAUGGAUCUUCAAAAGAAAAGAAGGUAUGACUCCAAAAGAGCCUCCGCGCUUUAAAGCAAGGCUAGUUGCAAAAGGUUUUAGUCAGAUUCCAGGAAUUGAUUACUCUGAUGUCUAUUCUCCUGUUGUCAAGCAUAGUUCAAUUCGUACCUUUCUUAGUCUUGUUGCUGUACAUGACUAUGAGCUUGAACAGUUAGAUGUGAAAACUGCUUUCUUACAUGGUGAUUUGGAGGAGGACAUUUAUAUGGACCAGCCAGAGGGGUUCAUUGUUCCUGGAAAAGAAGAUUAUGUGUGCAGGUUGAAGAAGUCCUUAUAUGGUCUGAAACAAUCUCCCAGACAAUGGUAUAAGAGGUUUGAUUCAUUUAUGCUUUCUAAGGGCUUUCAGAGGUCUCAAUAUGAUAGUUGUGUUUAUCUAAAAUUUGUUAAUGGAUCACCUACAUAUUUGCUGCUAUAUGUUGAUGAUAUGUUGAUUGCUGCCAAGAGCAUGAAGGAAAUCACUGCUUUAAAGGCACAGCUUAGUAGCGAAUUUGAUAUGAAGGAUCUGGGUGCUGCAAAGAAAAUCCUUGGCAUAGAGAUAGUCAGGGAUAGGAAGUCUGGACUGCUGUACUUGAGCCAGAAGAAUUAUAUUGAGAAGGUCCUUCGUCGUUUCAACAUGCAAAAUACUAAACCUGUGAGUACUCCGUUGGCUCCUCAUUUUAAACUGUCUGCUAAACAGUGUGCUGAAACUGAUGCUGAGCUUGAAUAUAUGUCAAAAGUUCCAUACUCUAGUGCUGUUGGGUCACUCAUGUAUGCUAUGGUUUGUUCUCGUCCUGAUUUGUCUCAUGCUAUGAGCGUUGUUGCUAGAUACAUGUCUAAUCCUGGUAAAGAGCAUUGGAAAGCUGUUCAGUGGAUUUUCAGAUAUCUACGUGGUUCUUCUAGUGCUUGUUUAUGUUUUGGUAAAUCUGGAGAUGGUCUGAUUGGCUAUGUUGAUUCAGAUUAUGGUGGUGAUUUAGACAGGAGGAGAUCUCUUUCAGGUUAUGUCUUUACUAUUGGAGAUUGUGCUGUGAGUUGGAAAGCUCGUUUACAGGAUACUGUUGCUUUGUCUACCACAGAAGCUGAGUAUAUGGCAAUUGCAGAAGUUACUAAGGAAGCCUUAUGGUUGAAAGGUAUAUAUUCAGAGCUAUGUGGAAUUAAGUCUUGCAUUACCAUCUAUUGUGAUAGCCAGAGUGCCAUUCAUCUCACCAAAGAUCAGAUGAUUACUGAGAAAUCCAAACAUAUUGAUAUUCGUUAUCACUUCAUUCGUGAUAUCAUUGAUAAAGGGUUGGUGAAGGUAUGCAAGAUCAGUACUGAUAAUAAUCCAGCUGAUAUGAUGACGAAGCAUGUUUCUGUUGCUAAGUUUGAGCUAUGCUCAAACUUAGUUGGUAUUAUAAAUUAGCCCUUAGUGGCUGUUGGCGCCGGCAAGAUGAUGAUGCAUUUGUUUAAGGUGGAGGUUGCUAUUAUGAUGCUACAAGGAAUUUGUCUCAAGGUGGAGUUUGUUGAGUUUGUGAUCCAAAUUCUGAAGAAGGCGGCCAAGUUGGCGAGCGAAGCGGAGGCCCGUCGCCGGGAGGCUUGGGCCGGAGCGCAGCGAGGCCAACUGGCCUUCCCACGGCCCAGGGACGCCUGGGGGGUGCGGGGGGCGGAGCCCCCCGCGGUACGGAUCGUUUUAGGGUUUCACCUCUAUAAAUAUCUUUGUAAGCCGCAGGAGAUAUCUAUCUCUAUUGUAAAUCUCCUGCGAUCUGUAACCACCCAAAAAAUAGUGAGAAGUUGCCGGCCGGCGCCCGUGGUUUUUUCCCCUUCACUUUGGAGGGGUUUUCCACGUUAAAUCCGUGUCUACUCUGUGAUUGAUCCUAUUUGUGUCGCAUUUAUUUAUAACAUUAACAACCCUAGAUUCCCUCCUUAAUGACAUUGCCCAUUUCUUUACAGCAUCCUUCACGGCUUCAAUGUUUGGAUGUUUUGCUCCUUGCAUUAUCUCGUUUUCUCGACACUCCCACUCCUGGCAUCUGCCAUCUUGUAUAACAGGGUUGCGAAACCUUGUUCCCUCCACUGAGUUGGCACUAGGUAUGCCUCGUCGUCUGACGAGUCCCCACAUUCUUCCAUCUUCUGUGCCUCACGGUCUUCAGCCUCCAUUUCAUCCACAAUCCUUGUUAUCCUCUCCCCUUCAUCAGCUACACCUUGCAGUUCUAUCUCUGAAACAUGGCCCUCAGCUCUGCCAGGUUUUUCUGCCUUCAUGUAUGCAGAUGGGAUACCUUCAUCUUCAUCUUGUGCUAUUGCGCGUUGUGGCUUUUCAUGCACCUGUACACGCAUAUCAAGAGGCCACCCACAUUCUGUAGCUGCAUUGAUGUAAUGCUGUCAAUUACUAGUGGUCUCGAUGCCCAUCAAGUCCCACUUGUUAUCUUCACCCUCCCAGUUGACAACAACUUGUACACUCAGCAGCACAUGUGUCUCUGGAUUUACACCAAAGCCACGUUCGAGCGAUUUCUGAAUUGAACCAAAACUUCUCUCAAAGAGUUUAUUUAUUCCAAUAUUCCUACACUUAAACAGUGACAUGUCUAAUCUCGGAGGACCAUACGUAGCAGGGCUGGUACCAUAAUACACUUGAAACAUUAAUUUGUUCGACAUAUCUAUAAAUGAAUCAUGUGAGUCAAUUCAUUUAUCCACCUUCAUCACAACAUAUAAGCUAUGGUACUGUUUUGGCCUAUCUGUAUAUUUUUCUACCAACUAUCUAUCAAAUAAACCUAUACUUAAAACCUUAACAUAAAAGUAGCACACAGAUCUUCUGUUUACAUGCUACGGUGCAUCGUAAGGUCAACUAUACAACUAAACCAAAUCUACUAUUUAUACGAAGCAAUAUAUGCUAAAACUAAAUUAAUAUCGCCACAUCUACUAUGACCCUAAAUAAAUCUACGAAUAGCUUGUUCGCUGCGGCUUGCUGCGGCUGCAAUCCGGCUGCGGCUGCGGCUUCUACAGUAUUUUUCUCUCUAUGGAUUGCAGCUGCAGCAGUCCAAACAGCUGCAACAGUGCCGGCUUGCAGCCAGCCGAACAGGGCCUAAAUCUAUUAAACUAUUUAUACUAUCUAAUAAUUUACUUACAUAAAAAACAUUACGAAAACAAAACAUGCUUGGCAAUAUAUUACCUGCUUCCUUCAGAUCAUACUCCGACAGGGCUUCGCCGCUUUCUUUCUCCUCUCCCCCUUUCUCUUUUCUCUAGAAGUUCUGGUGGCAAAUGAGCUCUGAAGGGGCUGAUUUUAGGUUAUACAGGGGACAGGGGCCCUGUCGUUCCAGGGUCGGACGACAGGUCCCCUUAUCGCCCCAGGGUCGGGCGACCGGUGAGCGAAUGCCCAAAAUGCCCUCUGCCCAGUCCCUCUGCUGGUGGGCCUACUCCCGCCGGGCCCCUGUCGCCC
Molecule: long non-coding RNA, 9500 nt
Filed under: Zea mays
Lineage: Eukaryota; Viridiplantae; Streptophyta; Magnoliopsida; Poales; Poaceae
Description: long non-coding RNA (ZMAY_LNC003619)
Source: RNAcentral